GUAGGUGAUCAUACUUUUACUAAUUCAUUGGAUCCCAUCUGCAUUUCGAAGUAAAGUAUGCUUGAGUGAGGAUAGUAUUAGGAUGGGUGAUUUCUCGGAAGUCCUCGUGUUGCAUUCU
Molecule: ribosomal RNA, 118 nt
Filed under: Solanum lycopersicum (tomato)
Lineage: Eukaryota; Viridiplantae; Streptophyta; Magnoliopsida; Solanales; Solanaceae
Source: RNAcentral